GACGAACGCUGGCGGCGUGCUUCAUACAUGCAAGUCGAACGAGAAGCUGACUUCGGUCAGUGGAAAGUGGCGGCCGGGUGCGUAAUAUUUAGGAAAUCUGCCUUUACGAGUGGGACAACAGAGGGAAACUUCUGCUAAUACCCCAUAUGAGCGUAGCUGACAUCCUAUUCUUGAAAACUCCGGUGCCUAAAUAUGAGCCUGCAUCUGCUUAGCUCGUUGUUAGUGUAAUGGUCUACCAAGGCGACGAUCAGUAGCUGGUUUGAGAGGAUGAUCAGCCACAAUGGGACGGAGACACGGAGCAGACUACUACGGGAGGCAGCAGUAGGGAAUUUUGCGCAAUGGGCGAAAGCAUGACGCAGCAACGGCGCGUGAAAGAUUAAGCCCUGCGAGGUAUAAAGUUCUGUCAGAGGGGACGAAACUUGACGGUACCCAAAGAGGAAGCAACGGCUAACUCCGUG
RNAcentral lists this ribosomal RNA (458 nucleotides) under uncultured bacterium. RNAcentral describes it as "partial 16S ribosomal RNA". It matches the Rfam family "Bacterial small subunit ribosomal RNA", at positions 28 to 507 of the family's 1533-position model. The record is from RNAcentral.